AAUAAACUGGUCUAAAGAUUUCGUUUCCUCGACAGAAAAAUCGAGUGAAAGAUUUCCGUGAAUCGAUGGUCAAGUACCUAGAGGCCAUGAUGGAAAGCCAGCAACAGCUGAUCAAAUACUGGGAAGGUUUCCUACCGGAGGCCAAAGCCAUUGCGUAGAAAACUAAUUUCUUUCAAUUGGAAUAAAAACUUAGUACGUAUAUAUGUUUUCUUAAAGCACUUGAUUUUUCCGUUAAUUGGAAUCCUACAAUGAAACAGAGACGUUGUAAUAAUUUAUCAACGUUUAUUUCUGAUUUCAAGAAGUUAUUUUAGCUUAAAUGUACGUUUAUUAGUCUCUACGCAAAAUUGAAAACUUUGUCACGUGUCGGAAUUUGAAGCGUUGCAAGACCCAAACAUUUCCGUAAUGAAAAUGUCAUGUGCCAGAUAGGGCAUUUGUAUUGCUCUACAUAGUAAAUAAGCUGGUAAAUCAAGAUAUUGUUGAGUGCUUGUGAAAACCAACUGCUGUUAAACAUGUUCUGAUCUUCACUCUCCGGUUUACCUUUCAUGUGUUCGUAUUGAUUAGAAAUCAAAGGUGGUUUGUCACCAAUCCAGCGAGAGACCGGAAUAACAAAGUCGUGGCGGCCAUUUUGGUGGUGCAAACAAAAACAGCUAAUUAGAAAUCUUUUGUUAAUGACCAUCAACAUGACGGCGAUGACGUCACACGAAAAGAAAGAAUGGCACAGUGUCAGUGAACAAAAUUCAUUUUGAAACUGAAGAGUGCAACUCCCCUGUCCCAAGUCCCUACUUAUUAACAUUUGACCAGAUUAAGUAUGUUUAUCAAGCAGAUAAUGGCAUUCCAUAUUAAAACCGCUCUUUUCACAUUAAACGGGACUGGAGAUAAAAUUUCACAGACAGAGUAUAGUUAGGUUAUAUUAACAGUCGAUCAAGGAACUGAAGAAAGGUAAAGAGAACUAAAUGUUUUUAUAGUAGCAAGGCAUGUUUGUGGCUAGAGAUAUGAGCAAAAUGAAAUAAAGUUUGAUCGUAAUUUUAA
Molecule: long non-coding RNA, 1029 nt
Organism: Orbicella faveolata
Lineage: Eukaryota; Metazoa; Cnidaria; Anthozoa; Scleractinia; Merulinidae
Source: RefSeq, a predicted model, not a curated record